AUACGGAGGAUCCGAGCGCUAUCCGGAUUUAUUGGGUUUAAAGGGUGCGCAGGCGGCCAUUUAAGUCAGCGGUUAAAUCGUGGGGCUCAACCCCAUUCUGCCGUUGAUACUGGGUGGCUUGAUUGCGGUCGAGGUUGGCGGAAUUCGUUGUGUAGCGGUGAAAUGCAUAGAUAUGACGAAGAACACCGAUUGCGUAGGCAGCUGACCAGACCGCAAAUGACGCUCAUGCACGAAAGUGCGGGGAUCGAACAGGAUUAGAUACCCUGGUAGUCCGCACAGUAAACGAUGAAUACUUGUUUUCGGCGAUAUAAUGUCGGAGGCAAAGCGAAAGCGAUAAGUAUUCCACCUGGGGAGUACGCCGGCAACGGUGGAACUCAAAGGAAUUGGCGGGG
Molecule: ribosomal RNA, 392 nt
Filed under: uncultured bacterium
Lineage: Bacteria
Description: partial 16S ribosomal RNA
Rfam family: Bacterial small subunit ribosomal RNA
Source: RNAcentral